GUGCCAGCAGCCGCGGUAAUACGUAGGUCCCGAGCGUUGUCCGGAUUUAUUGGGCGUAAAGCGAGCGCAGGCGGUUAGAUAAGUCUGAAGUUAAAGGCUGUGGCUUAACCAUAGUAGGCUUUGGAAACUGUUUAACUUGAGUGCAAGAGGGGAGAGUGGAAUUCCAUGUGUAGCGGUGAAAUGCGUAGAUAUAUGGAGGAACACCGGUGGCGAAAGCGGCUCUCUGGCUUGUAACUGACGCUGAGGCUCGAAAGCGUGGGGAGCAGACAGGAUUAGAUACCCUGGUAGUCCACGCUGUAAACGAUGAGUGCUAGGUGUUAGACCCUUUCCGGGGUUUAGUGCCGUAGCUAACGCAUUAAGCACUCCGCCUGGGGAGUACGACCGCAAGGUUGAAACUCAAAGGAAUUGACGGGGGCCCGCACAAGCGGUGGAGCAUGUGGUUUAAUUCGAAGCAACGCGAAGAACCUUACCAGGUCUUGACAUCCCUCUGACCGCUCUAGAGAUAGAGUUUUCCUUCGGGACAGAGGUGACAGGUGGUGCAUGG
Molecule: ribosomal RNA, 544 nt
Filed under: uncultured Streptococcus sp.
Lineage: Bacteria; Bacillati; Bacillota; Bacilli; Lactobacillales; Streptococcaceae
Description: bacterial SSU rRNA
Rfam family: Bacterial small subunit ribosomal RNA
Source: RNAcentral